GUGGGGAAUUUUGGACAAUGGGCGCAAUCCUGAUCCAGCAAUGCCGCGUGCAGGAAGAAGGCCUUCGGGUUGUAAACUGCUUUUGUACGGAACGAAACGGUCCGGGUUAAUACCCUGGGCUAAUGACGGUACCGUAAGAAUAAGCACCGGCUAACUACGUGCCAGCAGCCGCGGUAAUACGUAGGGUGCAAGCGUUAAUCGGAAUUACUGGGCGUAAAGCGUGCGCAGGCGGUUUUGUAAGACAGGCGUGAAAUCCCCGGGCUCAACCUGGGAAUUGCGCUUGUGACUGCAAGGCUGGAGUGCGGCAGAGGGGGAUGGAAUUCCGCGUGUAGCAGUGAAAUGCGUAGAUAUGCGGAGGAACACCGAUGGCGAAGGCAAUCCCCUGGGCCUGCACUGACGCUCAUGCACGAAAGCGUGGGGAGCAAACAGGAUUAGAUACCCUUGUAGUCC
RNAcentral lists this ribosomal RNA (450 nucleotides) under uncultured bacterium. Its description in RNAcentral is "partial 16S ribosomal RNA". It matches the Rfam family "Bacterial small subunit ribosomal RNA", at positions 354 to 796 of the family's 1533-position model. The record is from RNAcentral.